This 405-nucleotide ribosomal RNA is filed under the name uncultured bacterium. RNAcentral describes it as "partial 16S ribosomal RNA". It matches the Rfam family "Bacterial small subunit ribosomal RNA", at positions 28 to 526 of the family's 1533-position model. The record is from RNAcentral.
GAUGACCGCUGGCGGCGUGCCUAAUUCAUGCAAGUCGAGCUCAGCGGGGACGGGUGAGUCACACGUGGAUAACCUCCUAUAAGCCUGGGAUAACUUCGGGAAACCGGGGCUAUACCGGCUACUUAUAGAUGGAUCCGCGCUGCAUUAGCUAGUUGGUAAGGGAACGGCUUACCAAGGCAACGAUGCAUAGCCGACCUGCUAGGGUGAUCGGCCACACUGGAACUGAGACACGGUCCAGACUCCUACGGGAGGCAGCAGUAGGGAAGCUUCCGCAAUGGGCGAAAGCCUGACGGAGCAACGGCGAGUGAGUGAUGAAGGUCUUCGGAUCGUAAAACUCUGUGAUUAGGGAAGGGGUACCUAAUCAGAAAGCCACGGCUAACUACGUGCCAGCAGCCGCGGUAAUUC